AGCGAGCGCGGGGUUCGGCCGCUCCAAGUUCGGCGGUGCCGUGGCUCGGAGGCGCUUUGGAGGCGUUGAUGGCAUCGCUGGGUUCGGUUUGCAGCGGGUGUCCGCUAAGGGAUAUGGUGUUCUUCCUGAGCGGCACGGUUCUCGGUGCCGGUAGAGAUGAUAAAGGGUACUCACAAAAUAUGUCUCCCUUAGUGUCCCACAGAAACAUUCUGGGUGCAAUCUGAAUUAAGGUAUGUGUUUUCAAAUAAGUAAUCAGUUUAGAUAUUUGCCUGUGUACCUUUUCCUGUAAUUCAGAGCUUGUGUUCUGUGGGUUUUAUGAUAAACCUGUAAAACAUGUAAGAAUGGUUUUGCAAGUCUGAAUCGUUGAAGGCAGCAAUAAGUGGAUUUAAAGCCUGUUCUUGAGCAGACAAAGGGGAAAAGUGUGACUCUGAUGCUGAACUUGUCAUUUUUCAUUUGACUUGCCUUUAAUUAUUGAAGAAGAGAGAGAACUAGGAAAAGAAAUAGAAUUGAUUAUUGAGCACUCCUAAAAAGCUCACCAUGAUUCUGUGUAGAGCCAAAGUGAAGGAUGAUGGAACAGAGCUCUGUGCAUUAGAAGGAAAUAAACCUGAUGUCCACACAGAGUCUUACUAAUUUCUGUUUUUAAAAUGCAAAAUAAGUUUAGGAAGUGUUGGAAGUUAGUAUUUUGGGAAAGAAAUGGCAGUUCCACAAAACAUUCCAUUCCAUUUAAGAGAGGCCCUUGGACUGAUUCAUGUUGUAACUGCUGUCACUGCAAUCAGUUGGUGGUUCAGCCUUGAAACGUGCACUUGGCCUUCUAUAAAGCACUGUUUUGUUUGCCUUUCAGUGCUAUGAGUCUUGAUAAAUUGGAGAAGUGCCCAAGAGAAAUUCAUCAUCCUGAGAUACAAAAGGUAGGAAGUGACUUUUUCUGGUUUGGUUCUUUUUCUUUAUUGUUUUCUGGAAAUAGAAGUAAUUAAGUAUAGAUACUACUGGUUUGUUUCUUCCAGUAGCUGAUAAUACUAAUACCAAUAAUAAUAAUAAUAAUAAUAGUAAAGUAAUACUACUUCAACUGUCUUUAUUUAUCCAUUGAACUGGCCAUUUUAAAUCUAAACUUCUAAACACAAAUCAAACCAUCAUCCUUGUAGAAUCUUUAAUAGGAGUGGGCUAAAGAUCCUGGUUUUGUUGACAGGAUUUAUUGGUUCAUGAACAGCAAGAGGUAAGUACAAGCCUAACUACCCUCUAGCUCACAGACCUGCCCGGUGAAUAGAGCUUUGUUUUUUUGAUGGGCUUGUGAUGACUUUGAGAUCAAUUGCUCAUUCAUUACAGUAAAAAAAAAAAAAUUGUUUUGAACAUGACAGCAAAAAUAACUUUAAGCACAACUUAAUAAUAAUAAUAGAUCACCAAUUUUAGUUAAUAAUUUUAUGCUAUACUCUUGGGUGAGGGAAGACUCGGACACUCAAUAUGAGAUCAGCAAGCUAUGUUUAUUGCAGAGAGUAUCAGACACUUAUACAGCACAUAAUAAGCUUAUGAAUAUUCUGUAAGCCAAGCGAUCUAUUGGUUAAACUAUACCAUCAACUCUUCCUCAUUCCUUUGGGCCUACAUUCCCUAUUUCCCACGUCUCUCUGUCUACUUGUUAUCCUACCCAGCUAGGCCCAGGCACACGCUAUCUUGCAGGUGCAAAACUCAAAAAUACCUGUGUUCGGUACUUUCCCAGCUCCUGGUCGGCUAACGAGCGAAUGUCUGCGUGACCUCUGUCAUGGAGCCAUUUCUCCACACUAUACUAUCAAAGUUUAAAGGUAAAUUAUUAUAUAUUAGGAGAUGGUGUAAAGUGUAUGUUGUAAUGUGUAGGAUAUAUACAAAGAUACGUACUUGAAAGUCCGUAGAGGAAACAAAUUUUUACGCCUUCUGUUUGACUGUUUGUCAUAUAUUUGGUUUUAUUUCCCAGGGAUCAGUGAAUUUUAACUCUGGAGUCCUCUAUGCUAAGGAUGCUCAGCUUAGAGAUGAUGAAAUGUUCAGUAAUGGUGAGUUUUUCACCUUCUCCUUCAUUGUUUUGCUCAUCUGAAUAAAAAAAAAAAAAAAAAGGCAAGAUUAAAGAAAAAGCAAUAGUUUUAUUAUUUUUACCCUGUUAUGUCUGUUUCCUCAGUAUUUGCUGCAGCUCUGCUUACCCAAGGUUUGGGUAAAACAAGCUUUGGGUUCCCUCUGUCUCACUGGGAGUUGCCCAAUUCAGUUGCAUCUGGUGAAAUUCACCCUGAGACCUUACAGAACCAGCUCCAACUACGUGAGAGCCAUUUGCAGUUCUCUCCAGACACCUGGAGAAUGGGCGACAUUUCUGAGAAUCCGGCGAGCGUGCUUCUAUCAAAACUCAGUCUGUGAAAUUCCUGGGGAAAACCCUUCUGUGUCCUGAAGGGUUCAAACUCUGGUGAGGAUCCAGUUAUCAGGUGCUCACCUGGAUGGUUCCAGCUCUUAAAGUGAACACUUGUACUCUUGCCCUGUAGUUUACAUCUAUUGUAUUUUUGUUAUUUUGCAGGAUUUUUUGUCUUUGCAAAAUAUUGUGCAUUUCACUCUUUGGAACCUCUCAGAUGGUUCUUUGGUGCAGCACCACCCCAGGGGACACUUGCCUGCUGUCCUGAAGGGGUUGGUGGCUAGAAUUGUGAAUCCUGGAGAGUUUAUAAGUCUUCUGUCCCCAGGGAGGUGUCGUGCUUUGUUUACUUUUGUUCUGUUGGUUAGGCGCUGCUUCUCGUUGCAAGUACGAAUUUCAAACUGCCCUGUUCUUAUUUUAACUGUUUUCCUGGUUCUCUCCCUACGGCAGGGAAAGACUCUCGUAUCCUUGUCAUCGGGCUCGGUGCUGUCCAAGAAGAUACAGAGACUAAAAAAAUCAUAAGAAGCAAAAUAUGACUGCAGGGAAAAGAAGCUGGAGAGAACAGAAGACUCAUCACGGCGGGACAGCGUGAGGACUGAAAGUGUAAGAAGAUGUGGAGGGAAACAGAGAAUCUGACAGGAGCAUCGGAGGGACGAGUGCAGGAAUUUUGCUUUUUGCUUGGAUGUAAACUCAGGAGUUGAGAGGAAUUUGGGAGUGAGAAGGGACAUCUCAGAAGGAGAAGAAGAAAAAGAGGUUGUUGUUGUUGUUACAGUCCUGGCAAAAUCUUUUGUUCUAGCUAAUAAAAGAAGUUAGUUUAAAAAACAAAAAGGAAAAAAUGUAGUGUUUUUUUUUUCCUUCACUAUGAUAUUCAUUGGUGGUAUAUGGUGUGUUGUUUCAUUUCUUGGUAUUAUUAACUCUGUGUAAAUUGUUUUUUGAGUGAAGCUGACUUUCUGGAUGGGUUGGUUUGUAUUUGAGGCAGGAUUAAUUUCAGUAGGGUUCUUUCAUAGAUUUCUGAUGGGUAUUACUGGGAUUUUGGUUUUGUUUACUGUAUGUAUGAACCUAGAGCUUUGGUAGGGCCAGCUGGGCUGCUGGAGUUUUGGGUGUGAAUUUAUUAGAUGGCUUUUGUUAGAUGCAGUUUUUAAUUUUUGAAAUGUUUUUCAAUGUAGUGGUUUUAAGGUGGUUUUUAAGAAUUCAUUGUAUUGCUUUAUCUUGUUUGUAGUUGGUGUAUGAUAAGGGAUGUGGUGUGAGUUCUUGAACAUUAUGGUUUUGGUGUUCCUAAGUUCUGAUUUCUUUGUGGUUCAAUAGCUUUUUUUAUUUUUAUUUUUUGGGACAGGGGCAUUUAUAUGGUGGGUUUUUAUAGGCAAUAUGUUUUUUAAUUUAGGUAGUGAUAUUUUUUAAUAUUUUAAUAGUUUAGGUUUUUUAUUUUCAUGGUUUUAAUUAUUUUUUUUAAUUUUUUGAAAUAACUUUUAUAGAUUACAUGUUAUUAUUUGUGCAUUAACAUAAAGGUAGAGCUUUGGGGACUUUUUUUAGUAAUGUUUAGGGUCAGUUGUGCAGUUUUGAGUCUAGUGCGUUGGUUUGAUUUAAUUUUUAAUGGGUGUUUGUUUUUAUUAGCAGUUGUGUCAUUUUCAAGGUGUGUUUGAGUUUUUUGGGGUUUUUGAGAUACUGGUUUAGGAGGAAGUUUAUGAUGAGCAUGUGCGGAGGUUUUGGGCUACUUUAUAGUGGGAUUUAAAAUUUAUUUACAGUUAGGUUUAUUUGAGUUUUUAUUAGGGUUCAGUGACGUUGUGGGAUAUUUGUUCCGUUAGUAACAGAAAUAGGUUUUGUUUUGCUGUGCUGCGAUGGGAUGGGCGUGUGCUGCGUGCCGGUGCUGACAAAGGUACAGUAUUGUUGUGGCUCUGGUGCGUCGGGUUAAUGAACUGACAUGGUUUAAUGUAGAGAUGAAAAUAGAAAUAAAUAUACAUUUAAAAAUAAAUAUAACAUUAGAGUGGUAAACAUAAAUAUAGAUAACAGAUACAUACAUAAAACUAUAAUAUAUGGUAUAUAAUUGUAACAUGUUAUCAUAUAGAUAAAUGAUAGUCUAUUUUAUAUAUAUAUACACAAAGAUAUAUAAAUAUAGAUUGUAAAUAUAAAAAUAUUUAAAUAGAGUUAAAGUAAAUUGGGCAGUUUUAUUAGGGUAUAGGCUGGGG
Molecule: long non-coding RNA, 4536 nt
Organism: Melospiza melodia melodia
Lineage: Eukaryota; Metazoa; Chordata; Aves; Passeriformes; Passerellidae
Exons: 3
Source: RefSeq, a predicted model, not a curated record